GGAGAGGUGGCAGAGCGGUUGAAUGCGGCGGUCUCGAAAACCGUUAUGUCGGUAAUCCCGGCAUCGGGGGUUCGAAUCCCCCCCUCUCCGCCG
This 93-nucleotide transfer RNA is filed under the name uncultured Rubrobacteraceae bacterium. RNAcentral's name for it is "tRNA-Ser-CGA". It matches the Rfam family "tRNA". From Rfam's summary of the family: Transfer RNA (tRNA) molecules are approximately 80 nucleotides in length. Their secondary structure includes four short double-helical elements and three loops (D, anti-codon, and T loops). The record is from RNAcentral. Lineage: Bacteria; Bacillati; Actinomycetota; Rubrobacteria; Rubrobacterales; Rubrobacteraceae.